RNAcentral lists this ribosomal RNA (1509 nucleotides) under Helicobacter pylori. RNAcentral's name for it is "bacterial SSU rRNA". It matches the Rfam family "Bacterial small subunit ribosomal RNA". The record is from RNAcentral. Lineage: Bacteria; Pseudomonadati; Campylobacterota; Epsilonproteobacteria; Campylobacterales; Helicobacteraceae.
UUUAUGGAGAGUUUGAUCCUGGCUCAGAGUGAACGCUGGCGGCGUGCCUAAUACAUGCAAGUCGAACGAUGAAGCUUCUAGCUUGCUAGAGUGCUGAUUAGUGGCGCACGGGUGAGUAACGCAUAGGUCAUGUGCCUUUUAGUUUGGGAUAGCCAUUGGAAACGAUGAUUAAUACCAGAUACUCCCUACGGGGGAAAGAUUUAUCGCUAAGAGAUCAGCCUAUGUCCUAUCAGCUUGUUGGUAAGGUAAUGGCUUACCAAGGCUAUGACGGGUAUCCGGCCUGAGAGGGUGAACGGACACACUGGAACUGAGACACGGUCCAGACUCCUACGGGAGGCAGCAGUAGGGAAUAUUGCUCAAUGGGGGAAACCCUGAAGCAGCAACGCCGCGUGGAGGAUGAAGGUUUUAGGAUUGUAAACUCCUUUUGUUAGAGAAGAUAAUGACGGUAUCUAACGAAUAAGCACCGGCUAACUCCGUGCCAGCAGCCGCGGUAAUACGGAGGGUGCAAGCGUUACUCGGAAUCACUGGGCGUAAAGAGCGCGUAGGCGGGAUAGUCAGUCAGGUGUGAAAUCCUAUGGCUUAACCAUAGAACUGCAUUUGAAACUACUAUUCUAGAGUGUGGGAGAGGUAGGUGGAAUUCUUGGUGUAGGGGUAAAAUCCGUAGAGAUCAAGAGGAAUACUCAUUGCGAAGGCGACCUGCUGGAACAUUACUGACGCUGAUUGCGCGAAAGCGUGGGGAGCAAACAGGAUUAGAUACCCUGGUAGUCCACGCCCUAAACGAUGGAUGCUAGUUGUUGGAGGGCUUAGUCUCUCCAGUAAUGCAGCUAACGCAUUAAGCAUCCCGCCUGGGGAGUACGGUCGCAAGAUUAAAACUCAAAGGAAUAGACGGGGACCCGCACAAGCGGUGGAGCAUGUGGUUUAAUUCGAAGAUACACGAAGAACCUUACCUAGGCUUGACAUUGAGAGAAUCCGCUAGAAAUAGUGGAGUGUCUAGCUUGCUAGACCUUGAAAACAGGUGCUGCACGGCUGUCGUCAGCUCGUGUCGUGAGAUGUUGGGUUAAGUCCCGCAACGAGCGCAACCCCCUUUCUUAGUUGCUAACAGGUCAUGCUGAGAACUCUAAGGAUACUGCCUCCGUAAGGAGGAGGAAGGUGGGGACGACGUCAAGUCAUCAUGGCCCUUACGCCUAGGGCUACACACGUGCUACAAUGGGGUGCACAAAGAGAAGCAAUACUGCGAAGUGGAGCCAAUCUUCAAAACACCUCUCAGUUCGGAUUGUAGGCUGCAACUCGCCUGCAUGAAGCUGGAAUCGCUAGUAAUCGCAAAUCAGCCAUGUUGCGGUGAAUACGUUCCCGGGUCUUGUACUCACCGCCCGUCACACCAUGGGAGUUGUGUUUGCCUUAAGUCAGGAUGCUAAAUUAGCUACUGCCCACGGCACACACAGCGACUGGGGUGAAGUCGUAACAAGGUAACCGUAGGUGAACCUGCGGUUGGAUCACCUCCUUUCUAGA